ACAAUGUGCGAGAUUUAAUACCAAAUGGACGUAAUACAGUUAUUGUUAUGGAAAAGACCAAACUUGAAUAUAUUAGCCUUAUGUGUCAAAUGAAAAUGACUGGAGCAAUUUGUAAGCAGUCUAUUCUUGAAAGGAUUUUAUGAUAUUAUGCUUAACCCUUACGAGGUAACGUCGGGUCACUCGUGCCUCGGCAAAAGUGACUCUCAUUGGUAGCUCGGGGAGGAGGAAAGGGAGCCCGACAGAACUGUGCUGGAAAAAAUUGUAUAGUAGUAGGCUACUAGAUUUCCAAGUGCCGACUCCGCAGUACCUUACCAGCAGUCGUGAGAGCCAGACAUAUUUUGGAAAAGGCACGAGUGAUCCGACGUUACCGACAACGAGUGCAAAUAGUGCAAGGAUAGUAAAUGAGUCACCAAGAAUUUUUUCAGAUUUUUUAAAGCAUUUUUAAGCAAAAUUUUAAUCAUCGGACACGAGUGACCCGACGUUACCGUGUAAAGGUAGUAAAAAUUACGUUACCUCGUAAGGGUUAAACGACCAAUUUUCAUAUUUAAUGAACAAGAACUUGAACUAUUGAUCAGUGGCUUGCCUACUGUAAAUAUCUUAAAGGAGGAUCUUAAAGCAAAUAUUGAGUAUCAUAAAUACACUGCUACGUUUUUAUAGAUUCAAUGGUUCUGCUGCAUUGCGAGGUUUUAAUCAAGCGGAUUGUUCGAAGUUCUUACAAUUCAUCACUAGUACAUCUAAAGUGUCGUUACAAGGUUUUGCUGCGUUAAAAGGCAUGAACGGCAUACAAAAGUUCCAAAUUCACAGAAAAGACAAGUUGACAGACAGGCUUUCAUUUGCACAUAUUUGUUUCAAUCAACUGGAUUUGCCAGUGUACGAGACGUUUGAUAAACUCUGAACAAAUCUACUCAAGGCGACUUACGAAUGCACCAAAGAAUUUGGAUUUGCAUAAGCUUACCAGAAUUUGCUCCUGUACAAUUUCCUGCGUUCAAUCGAUGAUAUUCUAGAGACCAAACUUAUGGUUGGAUCUUUACAGCCAGUGAUAACAUUCCGGACGUGCAAUGGCCUAUUGCUUGCAAAAUUUUUAACGUACAUACAAAAAUUGUUAUACGCAAUGCUAUAUGUAAAACUAUCUUGUGAACGUAGCGAAUCACAGUGCUCUAAUUGCUAUAAUAUGUAUUAUUACACUUAUACGACUUUAUAAAUACGAAAUAUAUAUUUUCAUUUUAUCAUACACAUUAA
Solenopsis invicta (red fire ant) is the source of this 1239-nucleotide long non-coding RNA. RefSeq lists it as uncharacterized. The record is from RefSeq and is a predicted model, not a curated record. The transcript has 5 exons. Lineage: Eukaryota; Metazoa; Arthropoda; Insecta; Hymenoptera; Formicidae.